CGGUGGGCACUAGUUGUGGGAACCUUCCAACGGUUUCUGCGACGCAGCUAACGCAUUAAGUGCCCCGCCUGGGGAGUACGAUCGCAAGAUUAAAACUCAAAGGAAUUGACGGGGCCCCGCACAAGCAGCGGAGCAUGCGGCUUAAUUCGACGCAACGCGAAGAACCUAACCAAGGCUUGACAUAUAGGGAAAAGUGGCAGAGAUGUCAUGUCCGCAAGGGCCCUAUACAGGUGGUGCAUGGUUGUCGUCAGCUCGUGUCGUGAGAUGUUGGGUUAAGUCCCGCAACGAGCGCAACCCUCGUUCUGUGUUGCCAGCAUUUAGUUGGGGACUCACAGGAGACUGCCGGGGUUAACUCGGAGGAAGGUGGGGAUGACGUCAAAUCAUCAUGCCCCUUAUGUCUUGGGCUGCACACAUGCUACAAUGGACGGUACAGAGGGCUGCAAUACCGUAAGGUGGAGCGAAUCCCAAAAAGCCGGUCUCAGUUCGGAUUGAGGUCUGCAACUCGACCUCAUGAAGUUGGAGUUGCUAGUAAUCGUAGAUCAGCAUCGCUACGGUGAAUACGUUCCCGGGGCUUGUACACACCGCCCGUCACGUCACGA
Molecule: ribosomal RNA, 599 nt
Filed under: uncultured Actinomycetes bacterium
Lineage: Bacteria; Bacillati; Actinomycetota; Actinomycetes
Description: bacterial SSU rRNA
Rfam family: Bacterial small subunit ribosomal RNA
Source: RNAcentral